RNAcentral lists this unclassified non-coding RNA (1210 nucleotides) under Ceratitis capitata (Mediterranean fruit fly). Its description in RNAcentral is "serine/arginine-rich splicing factor 2, transcript variant X1". The record is from RNAcentral. Lineage: Eukaryota; Metazoa; Arthropoda; Insecta; Diptera; Tephritidae.
GCAUUUUCACGACGCCAUUUUAUAUUUGUUCUUUCAAGUGUCGUGUAUAGAUUUUAAAGAGUUGAUAUAAUUUCCUACAUAUUUGGGAUAAAUAUAUUUCUAUCUUAACUAAAAGACAAAAAUGAGUGGAGGUGGAAAUAAUUCUGCAAGGCCUCCGCCGAGAAUUGAUGGCAUGAUAUCCCUUAAGGUGGAUAAUUUAACAUAUCGCACUACACCUGAAGAUUUGAGACGUGUAUUUGAAAGAUGCGGCGAGGUUGGUGACAUCUACAUACCCCGCGAUCGAUAUACCCGUGAAAGCCGUGGUUUUGCAUUUGUUAGGUUUUAUGAUAAACGCGAUGCAGAGGACGCACUAGAGGCUAUGGAUGGUCGUAUGUUAGACGGCAGGGAGCUACGCGUACAGAUGGCUCGUUAUGGUCGUCCAACUUCACCAACACGACGAACUAAUAACAGACGUGGCGGUGGUGGAGGUAGACGACGUUCUCGUUCACCUGUACGUAGGCGCUCUCGCAGUCCACGUCGUCGCUCGUAUUCGCCUAGAUCAAGGUCACGUUCUGCAGGUAGUCGAUCACCAGUACGACGCAGUAAAUUUUCACGAAGUCCAGUUGGUCGUAAAUCUUUGAGUCGUAGCCAAAGUCGUAAUGGUGCGCCAGGACGUAGCAUCUCGCGCAGUCGAAGCCGUUCGUAAAUAUUGUCGGAAAAAUAUUGAUUCAAUAAAUCAGAAUCCCCAAAAGAGCCACCAGUAUGCAUUAAAAAAUACUUUCAAACGUUGAUUAGUGGCGUAUACAUAUAUGAGUUUAGAGCUGCUAACUCAACAGGCAAACAAAGAUUGCUGUAAGGGCUGCUGUUAAAGUGCGAAAAAGAUUGAGGCAGACAUUAAGAAAGAAAUGUAUAUGAAUAUUUUGGGGCGAAAUGUGCAAGGCGCAGGAGGCAGAUUGAUAAAUUCGUUGAUGGCAGCUGCGUAGCGAAUUUAGUAUAACCGUACUCCUGCUACUCUUGUUGCUGCCACAGCCGCAGUUUGCAGUUGUUCCAGCGUAAUAUUUUUUACACCUUUUUAGCCGCUGAACUUAACAAAUUUGCUGUCAAUUAUGCUUAACACUUUGAUUUAUUUCUCGAACAACGCUUAGAGAAACGUAUUAAUUCAAGUGAUAAGCGUUAAUUUAUUCGAGUUCGCAUCAUUAAAGCUAACAAUUAUUGCUGUUUACUGACCAAA